CUAUCAAUACCCCCAAAAACACUCAUGUAAUUAAACAAACCAUUUUCCCCCCUUAGUAUGGGCGACAGAAAAGGAUCGUUCAAAGCUAUAGAAAAAGUACCGCAAGGGAAUGCUGAAAAAGAAGUGAAACAACUCAGUAAAGUUUAAAAAAGCAGAGAUUUACACUCGUACCUUUUGCAUCAUGAUUUAGUCAGUAAAAACAAGCAAAAAGUACUUUAGUUUGUUUCCCCGAAACUAAGUGAGCUACUCCAAGACAGCCUAAAAUAGGGCCAACCCGUCUCUGUGGCAAAAGAGUGGGACGAGCUUCGAGUAGAGGUGAUAAACCUACCGAACUUAGUUAUAGCUGGUUGCCUGAGAAAUGAAUAGAAGUUCAGCUUUUUGGUUUCUCCCUCCAACCUGCCUAACUACAACCGAACCAGAUAAACCAAAAAAGUUAAUUAAAGGGGGUACAGCUCCUUUAAACAAGAUACAACUUCACCAGCCGGGUAAAGAUCAUACACAACUAGGGUAAAGUGUUUUAGUGGGCCUAAAAGCAGCCACCUAUCAGAAAGCGUCAAAGCUCCUUCAUACUACCACCCCUCAAAUUCCGAUGACAUAUCUAAACCCGCUAGUUCUAUCAAGCCGCCCCAUGCCGCCAUGGGGGUGAUUAUGCUAGAAUGAGUAAUAAGAAAAACCACCUUUUCUCCUUGCACUCGUGUAAAUCGAAACGGACCCCCCAUCGAACAUUAAUCGGCCCCAAAAAAAGAGGGUAAUGAAUUAUCAACCCCAAUAACAAGAAAAACACCCAAAUACUAACCGUUAACCUCACACCAGCGUGCUUACAAGGAAAGACUAAAAGAAAAAGAAGGAACUCGGCAAAUACAAGCCUCGCCUGUUUACCAAAAACAUCGCCUCUUGUGAACUAAGUAUAAGAGGUCC
RNAcentral lists this ribosomal RNA (918 nucleotides) under Betta simplex. RNAcentral describes it as "partial 16S ribosomal RNA". The stretch from base 140 to 656 matches the Rfam family "Bacterial large subunit ribosomal RNA", at positions 573 to 1301 of the family's 2925-position model. Lineage: Eukaryota; Metazoa; Chordata; Actinopteri; Anabantiformes; Osphronemidae. The record is from RNAcentral.